Molecule: long non-coding RNA, 516 nt
Filed under: Chinchilla lanigera (long-tailed chinchilla)
Lineage: Eukaryota; Metazoa; Chordata; Mammalia; Rodentia; Chinchillidae
Description: lncRNA (ENSCLAG00000028316.1)
Source: RNAcentral
AGAUUUUUCAGGAUUGGCUUACUGAAACCACGUGAUUUACAAUGCCUAUAUUAGAACACUGAAUUUAAAUGAUCAGACUGCGAAGGUACUGGUUGACUGUGGUUAUUGAAGCCAUGAAAAGCAAAACGCUGCAUAAAGGGAGACCAUCACGUCUAACUAGCCUUCUUCAGGAUUCCCACUGAGUGAACUGGAUCUUGCUACAACUAUUGAAAGCUUAAAGAUCUUUAGAAUUGUAGGACUGGUCUGCAGUAUGGCAGAAAUUUGCAGCCUCUGUUCUCAGUUUCCUAUCUUUCUGGGUCAAGAAUACAGUUUAAGGUAAAAGACUGGAGUUGCUUAAGAAGGCAGGAAGAUAGUGACUUUAAGGACCUAGAGGAGAAGAUUUUGGAUUUUGCCUAUUUUACCCAUGGAAAAAGCACAGAAAAUAUUCCCUCUUCCAGACUGAAUGACAGAAGCUCCUAGAAAAAGUUUCAUAGAAAGCAUAGGUUCUUGCAAUAAAGUUCCCCUGCUGGAUGACAG